GACGAACGCUGGCGGCGUGCUUAACACAUGCAAGUCGAACGGAAAGGCCCUGCUUUUGUGGGGUGCUCGAGUGGCGAACGGGUGAGUAACACGUGAGUAACCUGCCCUUGACUUUGGGAUAACUUCAGGAAACUGGGGCUAAUACCGGAUAGGAGCUCCUGCUGCAUGGUGGGGGUUGGAAAGUUUCGGCGGUUGGGGAUGGACUCGCGGCUUAUCAGCUUGUUGGUGGGGUAGUGGCUUACCAAGGCUUUGACGAGUAGCCGGCCUGAGAGGGUGACCGGCCACAUUGGGACUGAGAUACGGCCCAGACUCCUACGGGAGGCAGCAGUGGGGAAUAUUGCACAAUGGGUGGAAGCCUGAUGCAGCAACGCCGCGUGCGGGAUGACGGCCUUCGGGUUGUAAACCGCUUUCGCCUGUGACGAAGCGUGAGUGACGGUAAUGGGUAAAGAAGCACCGGCUAACUACGUG
This 468-nucleotide ribosomal RNA is filed under the name uncultured bacterium. RNAcentral's name for it is "partial 16S ribosomal RNA". It matches the Rfam family "Bacterial small subunit ribosomal RNA", at positions 28 to 507 of the family's 1533-position model. The record is from RNAcentral.